This 492-nucleotide ribosomal RNA is filed under the name uncultured bacterium. Its description in RNAcentral is "partial 16S ribosomal RNA". It matches the Rfam family "Bacterial small subunit ribosomal RNA", at positions 29 to 507 of the family's 1533-position model. The record is from RNAcentral.
AGUGAACGCUGGCGGUAGGCCUAACACAUGCAAGUCGAACGGCAGCACAGUAAUAGCUUGCUCUUACGGGUGGCGAGUGGCGGAUGGGUGAGGAAUACAUCGGAAUCUACUUUUUCGUGGGUGAUAACGUAGGGAAACUUACGCUAAUACCGCAUACGACCUCCGGGUGAAAGCAGGGGAUCUUCGGACCUUGCGCGAUUGAAUGAGCCGAUGCCGCAUUAGCUAGUUGGCGGGGUAAAGGCCCACUAAGGCGGCUAUCCGUAGCUGGUCUGUGAGGAUGUUGCCGCACACUGGAACUGAGACGCCGACCUGAGUCUGAGGGGAGGCACAAGUGGGGAAUGGUGGACGAUGGGCGCAAGCCUGAUCCAGCCAUAGCGCGCUGGUGAAGAAGGCCUUCGGGUGGUAAAGCCGUUUUGGUGGUGAAGAAAAGCUGCAGGUUAAAAGCAGGCUGUUCUGACGGUAGCGAAAGAAUAAGCACCGGCUAACUACGUG